Molecule: long non-coding RNA, 2999 nt
Filed under: Sus scrofa (pig)
Lineage: Eukaryota; Metazoa; Chordata; Mammalia; Artiodactyla; Suidae
Description: lncRNA (ENSSSCG00040001074.1)
Source: RNAcentral
GUUGUGUGAGCUCUUUGUAUAUUUUGGAGACUAAGCCCUUGUUGGUCACAUCAUUUGCAAAUAUUUUCUCCUAUUCCAAAGGAGUUGUACUGAGAAAAUUGGAUAGCUGCAUGUAAAUUAAUGAAGUUAGAAGAUACCUUCACACCAAACUAAACUCAAAAUGAUUUAUAGUCUUAAACAUAAGAUAUGACACCAUAAAACUCCUAGAAGAGAGCAUAAGGAAAACAUUUUCUGACAAAUCAUACAAAUAUUUUCUUAGGUCAGUCUCCCGAGGCAAUAGAAAUAAAAACAAAAAUAAACAAAUGUGACAACUUUAUUUUCCUUAAGGCUCAAAAAAAAUUAUUUUUAUUCUAACAAUUCAAAAUCAGAAAUUAGAAAUCUUUUGGAGUUCCCUUUGUGGCUCAGUGGUUAACAAACCCAACCAGGGUCCAUGAGGAUGCGGGUUUGAUCUGUGGUGUAGGUUGCAGAUGUGGCUUGGAUCCCACGUUGCUGUAGUUGUGGUAUAGGCCAGAAGCUGCAGCUCCAAUAUGACCCCUAGCCUGAGAAUUUCCAUAUGCUGUGAGUGAGGCCUGAAAAAGAAAAAGAAAAACCUUUCUUAUGUCCAGUAGAUGGCAGCACAACACAGUAUUUGGUUUCCCUUACCUGAGCUGCCUCUGGUUCUACUUGAGUUGGCAUUUUCCACACUCCAUCCCCUGAUUCAGACGUUUACUCCAGUGCCCUGGUUGUCACUGCUUGUCUCUCCAGGGUCAUUGGCGCCUUGCUUGUACUGGUGUCACUGGCAUCAUCAUCCAUGUCACCAGGAUGGUGGGUGCUCUGCCACAUCUGGGAUCUUCUGUUUCACAGGCUCUGCCACCAUAGGGACAGAGUUAAGGUGGGUGAAACCUGGUUCACAGCUGCCUCUGCCAUGUAUAGUGUCAUCAGGUUUGUAGGUUCCAUCACUGGGAAAGAAAGAGAUAGAAUCAUGAACACUUCCACAGCUGGAGGGAUGGGGUUAUGGGCUCCAUUGCCACUCCUGCCCAGUUAUCUGUUGCCAUGGGCACCACUGCACCUGGGAAACCAGAGUCAUUUGCACUGCCUCCCCUACUGCUGCUGGGUUCUCUGGGUCUGGGGCUUGGCAAAGGGGCUGGGAUUGCAGAUACCACCUCCAAUAUUCUCCCAAUUCCAUCUCCCCUAUAUGUUCCAGUUCACCUGCUUUUAUAUGUACGAAUACAUGAAAUCCUCCAGCAUCCUGGUAUGUUGGGAAGAGGCACCUUUGCUGAGCUUUUCGUAUUUUACUGGCUGUAAAUUUAAGGGGGGAGACAUCUCACUUUACCAUGAUGCUGACAUCACUCUAUUACAAUUCCUUAAAAACAUAUAUUUCUCAUGUUUUGGAAUGGUAGGUUAGCCUUGCUAAGCAAUGAAUUAUCUGAACCUAUGUUUUACAAAAUAGUUUCUAACAGAGACUGAUCUUUUUGCUAUUUAUUUUGAGUUUCUAAGAAAAGUUUUUACUCUCUCGGCUGAAAAAAAGAUAGGUCAGUCAACAAGGUGGUGGAAUAGGAAGCCCUGGAUCUCCCUCCUCCCCCAGAUACAACAAUUCAAUAGCAAUGUAAGGACAAAUUCCCUUUGUGAGAAUUCCAAAAGUUAGAUGAGAGCUUCCUAUAUCUUCCAAAACCAUGAUACCAACCGCAUUGCUGCUGACAGGAAAAUCUGAGACACUCUUUAACAAUGAUCCCUAACUCCAGAACAAGGCUAUGUGAUCAGAAGGAAAGUCCAGAUCCCAGCUUCUUGUCUGGGGAGGAAAAUAGUCAUACUAAGUGUCCUUUUUUUUUAAAACUUUUCCAGGGACUGGCCAAGGAACUAGCUUCUGUCUUGCUCAUCGUAGGGCACUAACAAGGUUAAGAAUAUUCUAAAUGCCUAGGAGCAGAUGAGAAUAAAGACAGUAGUUUGAAUUAGCACCCAAGCCAUCAUCAUGGUCCCUCCUUCAAGCCCAGCAUGUGAGUGAGCAAAACCAUAAUUCCAGCUUCUCUCUGGGGAGUGAAAGAGUUCAAUGACACAUUCAGUGUUCCAACUUUUCUGGGGGCUGCCUAAGGGACUGUCUCCUGUCUCAGAAUGAUGAUGGACCUGAAAUACUCUAUAUGGUUGGAGGCCACUAAGAACAAAGAUGUCAGUUUGGACUAGCAGAAAGGUUUGAAAAGCCCCCAGAUUCCCUGGAUAAGCUUACUGGGAAGGGUUUUCUUCUGUAAGAGACCAGCCCGUUAAAAAUGGGAGAAGUGGCUAUUUUUUCUAACACAUAGAGAGAAACCAAGACAAAGAGUCAAGGGACAUGAAGAAACAUGUCCCCAAGGAUGAAGAUAAAUCUUCAGAAACUAACCAUAUGAAAUGGAAAAAUAUGAUUUACUUCACAGAGAAUUCAAACAAUAAUCAUAAAAUUGCUCAACCAGGUCAGGUGAAUAAUGUAUGAACAAAGUGAAAAUCUAAACAAAGAUAAAGAAUAUUUUAAAAACAAGCCGACAGAAAAUAUGGUGCUGAAGAAUACAAAAAAUUAAACAGAAAAAUUCAUGAGAGAGGCUUGAAAACAAACUAGAUCUCCUGUGUCUGAAUAAUUUGCGAUGACCUGUGAAUUCAAAGACAGGUCAUUGCAAAUUAUUCAGACAUAGGAUGAAAAAAAUAGAUGAAAAAGCAUGACAAAAUAUUAUGGGAAUUAUAGGACACAAUUAACUAGACAAAUAUACACAUUACAGAAGUCCCCAAAGGAACAAAGAGAGAAGGAUACAGAAAUAAUGACCAGAAACUUCUCAAAUCUAGUAAAUGGAAUGAACAUAUAGGUCCAGGAAGCUCAACACUUCUUUUUGUUUUGAUUUAUCUUUUUAGGUCCACACCUUUGACAUAUAGAAGUUCCCAGGCUAGGGCUUGAGCCAGAGCUGCAGCUGCCGGGCUACACCACAACCACACUGAUGGCAGGAUCUGAGCUGCAUCUGCGACCUACACCACAGCUCAUGGCACCACCAAAUCUUUAACCC